This 842-nucleotide ribosomal RNA is filed under the name uncultured Methanosaeta sp. RNAcentral's name for it is "bacterial SSU rRNA". It matches the Rfam family "Archaeal small subunit ribosomal RNA", at positions 102 to 945 of the family's 1478-position model. Lineage: Archaea; Methanobacteriati; Methanobacteriota; Methanomicrobia; Methanotrichales; Methanotrichaceae. The record is from RNAcentral.
GGAUAACCUGCCCUUGAGACGGGGAUAAACCCGGGAAACUGGGUAUAAUACCCGAUAGAUCUCGGCUGCUGGAAUGCACCGAGUUCUAAAGCUCCGGCGCUCAAGGAUGGAUCUGCGGCCUAUCAGGUAGUAGUGGGUGUAGCGUACCUACUAGCCUACGACGGGUACGGGUUGUGAGAGCAAGAGCCCGGAGAUGGAUUCUGAGACACGAAUCCAGGCCCUACGGGGUGCAGCAGGCGCGAAAACUUUACAAUGCUGGAAACAGCGAUAAGGGGACCUCGAGUGCCAGGUUACAAAUCUGGCUGUCGUGAUGCCUAAAAAGCAUUGCAUAGCAAGGGCCGGGCAAGACCGGUGCCAGCCGCCGCGGUAACACCGGCGGCUCGAGUGGUAACCGUUAUUAUUGGGUCUAAAGGGUCUGUAGCCGGCCGGAUAAGUCUCUUGGGAAAUCUGGCAGCUUAACUGUCAGGCUUUCAGGAGAUACUGUCUGGCUCGAGGCCGGGAGAGGUGAGAGGUACUUCAGGGGUAGGGGUGAAAUCUUGUAAUCCUUGAAGGACCACCAGUGGCGAAGGCGUCUCACCAGAACGGACCUGACGGCAAGGGACGAAAGCUAGGGGCACGAACCGGAUUAGAUACCCGGGUAGUCCUAGCCGUAAACGAUACUCGCUAGGUGUCGGCCACGGUGCGACCGUUGUCGGUGCCGUAGGGAAGCCGUGAAGCGAGCCACCUGGGAAGUACGGCCGCAAGGCUGAAACUUAAAGGAAUUGGCGGGGGAGCACCACAACGGGUGGAGCUUGCGGUUUAAUUGGAUUCAACGCCGGAAAUCUUACCGGGACCGACAGCAA